GACGUGCCUCACAAACGUUAUUCGGAAUUACUGGGCUUAAAGGGUGCGUAGGCGGCGUAGAAAGUUGGGUGUGAAAUCCCUCAGCUUAACUGAGGAAGGGCGCCCAAAACUACUAUGCUCGAGGGAGAUAGAGGAGUGCGGAACUUCGGGUGGAGCGGUGAAAUGCGUUGAUAUCCUAGGGAACACCGGUGGCGAAAGCGGCACUCUGGAUCGCUUCUGACGCUGAGGCACGAAAGCUAGGGUAGCAAACGGG
RNAcentral lists this ribosomal RNA (253 nucleotides) under uncultured bacterium. RNAcentral describes it as "partial 16S ribosomal RNA". It matches the Rfam family "Bacterial small subunit ribosomal RNA", at positions 524 to 776 of the family's 1533-position model. The record is from RNAcentral.